GAGUAAGACAUAGUUCCUGACCUCAAAGAAUUCCAUGCCCAGUGACAGAAAUGUGUAAAUAAAUAAUUAUGAAACAAUGUGAUAUUACCUUAUUAAAGAGGGACAGACGACUCUGGAGAGUGGGGAGAAAGCAAUUAGAGAAGAGAGAACAUCUGAUCUAAAUCCUGAAAAAAGAGAAAGAAUUUAUAAAUACAAAGAGAGGAAGGGCAUUCCGAGUGAAGAGACAAAGGCCCAAUGAACGGGGGGAGAAGCAUGGAGAGGUGAGCUCAAAGAAAUCUCAUGCUUGUAACGUGGAUGAUGAACAUCUAAGGGAGACAGAGGCGGACAGAUAAAGACAGCGGAAACAGACCAGUGAGGAAAUUAUUGGGGUGAUUUCGAUAAGGAAGAACAGGCUUCAAACCAAGCAAUGGCUGAGGAGACAGGGAAGAGAAUGCCUGUGAACACUGCUAAGUGUUGGACAGAUUUUAUUGUACAACUAGACAACUCAGACAACUUACCAGAUACCCUCUUUUCACUCAAACCCCUGCCUCGGAUCAGAGAAAAGAACGUGGCAGAGGAAGAGAGACAAAGGAUUGAAGAAGCUAAAAGUGUAUCCAAAUGUCCUGAGCUACUCCUGCCUGAGGGGUUCACCAACCCUCUGAUGGCCUCCUGCUUCUGAACAGUAACUACAGCCCCAUACCCUCAACCAUCCUUACUCUGAUGCAGAAAGAAGACGAGGAGAAAACGGAAACUCUGCUCUUCAGAUAACUUGCUGGUGACCCCUGGUAAAUGACAGCCAAGCAAAACUUCAAGGAACUUGUUACUUAGAGCUUGAAUUUCAAGCAAACAUCUUCCUGCAUUUCUAAUGAAAAACGGAUCUUUCCCCCCUGCUUUUGAAGUGCUCUUUGGGAAUUGUUUGAGUGUUCUUUGCAAUCUUUUAUACCCAGCCUAAGGACUCUGACAAACUCUCUCUUUCCCUUCAAAGGCUUGUUAACUAUGUGAUGAAUACACCUGUCACUUCCAAUUCCAACCUGACUUUCUGUUGUGAUGGCUGUAGAAUUUGGUAUCUAUGGCAACUUUUCAGUGGCUCAACAUCGAUUAAAAAAGGAUUGGCUUA
Lutra lutra (Eurasian river otter) is the source of this 1096-nucleotide long non-coding RNA. RefSeq lists it as uncharacterized. The transcript is spliced from 4 exons. The record is from RefSeq and is a predicted model, not a curated record. NCBI's taxonomy places the organism in Eukaryota, Metazoa, Chordata, Mammalia, Carnivora, Mustelidae.